Trachymyrmex cornetzi is the source of this 46-nucleotide non-coding RNA. NCBI's taxonomy places the organism in Eukaryota, Metazoa, Arthropoda, Insecta, Hymenoptera, Formicidae. The record is from Rfam.
CAAACGGCCCUUUUUAGGGCCAUCAAUUUCUUCAUGUACGAAGAAU